GAGUCUUAGCGGUGGAUCACUCGGCUCCUACAUCGGUGAAGAACUCAGCUAGCUGCAAGAAUUAAUGUGAAUUGCAGGACACAUUGAUCAUCAACACUUCGAACGCACUUGCAGCCCCGGCUUCCUCCCGGGGCUACGCCUGUCUGAGCGUCU
RNAcentral lists this ribosomal RNA (153 nucleotides) under Catagonus wagneri (Chacoan peccary). RNAcentral describes it as "5.8S ribosomal RNA (ENSCWAG00000019938.1)". It matches the Rfam family "5.8S ribosomal RNA". Rfam says of the family: 5.8S ribosomal RNA (5.8S rRNA) is a component of the large subunit of the eukaryotic ribosome. The record is from Rfam by way of RNAcentral. Lineage: Eukaryota; Metazoa; Chordata; Mammalia; Artiodactyla; Tayassuidae.